Small nuclear RNA from Sorex araneus (European shrew), 108 nucleotides. The record is from Ensembl. NCBI's taxonomy places the organism in Eukaryota, Metazoa, Chordata, Mammalia, Eulipotyphla, Soricidae.
AUGCUUGCUUGGGCAGCUCCUGUACUAAAAUUGGAACAAUACAGACAAGAUUAGCCAGGCUUCUGUGAAAAGAUGACUACAAAUCCAUAAAACAUUCAAUAUCCUUUU